GAUGAACGCUGGCGGCGUGCCUAAUACAUGCAAGUCGAGCGAACAGACGAGGAGCUUGCUCCUCUGACGUUAGCGGCGGACGGGAGAGUAACACGUGGAUAACCUACCUAUAAGACUGGGAUAACUUCGGGAAACCGGAGCUAAUCCCGUAUAAUCUCUUGAACCGCAUGGUUCAAUAGUGAAAGACGGUUUUGCUGUCACUUCUAGCUGGAUCCGCGCCGCAUUAGCUAGUUGGUAAGGUAAUGGCUUACCAAGGCAACGAUGCGUAGCCGACCUGAGAGGGUGAUCGGCGACACGGGAAGUGAGACACGGUCCAGACUCCUACGGGAGGCAGCAGUAGGGAAUCUUCCGCAAUGGGCGAAAGCUUGACGGAGCAACGCCGCGUGAGUGAUGAAGGUCUUCGGAUCGUAAAACUCUGUUAUUAGGGAAGAACAAAUGUGUAAGUAACUAUGCACGUCUUGACGGUACCUAAUCAGAAAGCCACGGCUAACUACGUG
RNAcentral lists this ribosomal RNA (497 nucleotides) under uncultured bacterium. Its description in RNAcentral is "partial 16S ribosomal RNA". It matches the Rfam family "Bacterial small subunit ribosomal RNA", at positions 28 to 507 of the family's 1533-position model. The record is from RNAcentral.